CUCGACAUACUAGUUACCUACAUCGGUUGACUUGAAAUGUCCAAAAAUGUUUAUCAAUUAGUAUUAUUUCUCUAUUUAACUAUUAAAUAAAGUUUUUUUUGUUGUUAUAGUAAAAUAUAAUUCGAGAGUUCAUCUCCUAUUGAUUAUUGAUUUUUAAUUUUCAAAGGUAAGAAUGAUUUGUUUAUGAUAUAAUUGUGGUAAGUGAUUAUUAGCAUAUUUUAAUUCACGUUUUAUUCUUCAAUCUCGUGUUUCAAUGAUGAAUUUGUCGUGAUUU
RNAcentral lists this long non-coding RNA (274 nucleotides) under Lathyrus oleraceus (garden pea). RNAcentral describes it as "Pisum sativum (pea) long non-coding RNA (PSAT_LNC009044)". The record is from RNAcentral. Lineage: Eukaryota; Viridiplantae; Streptophyta; Magnoliopsida; Fabales; Fabaceae.